RNAcentral lists this ribosomal RNA (253 nucleotides) under uncultured bacterium. Its description in RNAcentral is "partial 16S ribosomal RNA". It matches the Rfam family "Bacterial small subunit ribosomal RNA", at positions 524 to 776 of the family's 1533-position model. The record is from RNAcentral.
UACGGGGGGAGCAAGCGUUGUUCGGAUUUACUGGGCGUAAAGGGCGCGUAGGCGGCGUGACAAGUCACUUGUGAAAUCUCCGGGCUUAACUCGGAGCGGUCAAGUGAUACUGUCGUGCUAGAGUGCGGAAGGGGCUACUGGAAUUCUCGGUGUAGCGGUGAAAUGCGUAGAUAUCGAGAGGAACACCUGCGGCGAAGGCGGGUAGCUGGGCCGACACUGACGCUGAUGCGCGAAAGCGUGGGGAGCGAACGGG